RNAcentral lists this ribosomal RNA (127 nucleotides) under uncultured bacterium. RNAcentral's name for it is "partial 16S ribosomal RNA". It matches the Rfam family "Bacterial small subunit ribosomal RNA", at positions 355 to 479 of the family's 1533-position model. The record is from RNAcentral.
UGAGGAAUAUUGGUCAAUGGGCGAGAGCCUGAACCAGCCAAGUAGCGUGCAGGAUGACGGCCCUAUGGGUUGUAAACUGCUUUUAUACGGGGAUAAAGUGAGGUACGUGUACCUUUUUGUUCAGGUC